Molecule: ribosomal RNA, 29 nt
Filed under: Potamon pelops
Lineage: Eukaryota; Metazoa; Arthropoda; Malacostraca; Decapoda; Potamidae
Description: partial 16S ribosomal RNA
Source: RNAcentral
GGAGUGAAUAAUUAAAAUAUUUUUAUAUA